This 253-nucleotide ribosomal RNA is filed under the name uncultured bacterium. RNAcentral's name for it is "partial 16S ribosomal RNA". It matches the Rfam family "Bacterial small subunit ribosomal RNA", at positions 524 to 776 of the family's 1533-position model. The record is from RNAcentral.
UACGGGGGGGGUAAGCGUUGUUCGGAAUUACUGGGCGUAAAGGGCUCGUAGGCGGCCAACUAAGUCAUACGUGAAAUCCCUCAGCUUAACUGGGGAACUGCGUGUGAUACUGGAUGGCUUGGAUUUGGGAGAGGGAUGCGGAAUUCCAGGUGUAGCGGUGAAAUGUGUAGAUAUCUGGAGGAACACCGGUGGCGAAGGCGGCAUCCUGGACCAAUAUUGACGCUGAGGAGCGAAAGCGUGGGGAGCAAACAGG